Molecule: long non-coding RNA, 393 nt
Organism: Gorilla gorilla gorilla (western lowland gorilla)
Lineage: Eukaryota; Metazoa; Chordata; Mammalia; Primates; Hominidae
Exons: 3
Source: RefSeq, a predicted model, not a curated record
UCAUCUUAUAGGUGGUGAUAAGAGAGCAAGUCUUUAAGGAAACACCACCAGUAACUCUGAGAGCUCAGAAGACUGAGGCAUUCUCUCUAAAAUGAGGCAGCCCUGGAUUUUCCAAGCUUUACAGGUAGUUUAAGAAAAUAUCGGGGGAGGAGCCAAGAUGGCCGAAUAGGAACAGCUCCGGUCUACAGCUCCCAGCGUGAGCGACGCAGUAGACGGGUGAUUUCUGCAUUUCCAUCUGAGACUCUUGCAUUCUGACAACUGACUGACUCCACCUGAACCUCUGACUUACACCAAGGAAAUGGCUCCCACCCAGAAACUGACUCAGUGUGUGAAAACAGUUUGGACACUUCCAUGAAUUCAUCCCCAACCAAUCAGCAGUAUUCAUUUCUUAGA